CAUGGAGAAAACACUCCUUUCCGUACUUGUUGUCGCUGUGUGUCUAGGCGUUUGCUCAGCACAGUUGUCGUGUCCUGAUCGAUGCUUGGAGCUAUCAAAUCAGAUACGUGGUCCUGAUUUUUCCUUAGGUGAUCUCUUCAGAUACCUUACCUUUGCUUGUUGGCGAUGCAGUAACUACCAGACAUCAAUGACACCUACAACAGCGGAAUCAGCAACAACAUCUACGGAGUCGUCUUCAGAUACAGAGACGACAACGUCCGAGGGCAGUGGGUCGGCACGCAUCAACGCACGACCACGCCUACACAGCGCUAGCGUGCGGCCUUCACUCUCCAGUGCAGGGUCUCGCAUCAAUGCACGACGGCACCUAUCCAGCGCCAGUGUGCGACCUUUACUCUACGCUUGAGGUUACAGUCGCCAAAACAGCUAAGACAUUCCCUGA
Long non-coding RNA from Schistocerca cancellata (South American locust), 439 nucleotides. RefSeq lists it as uncharacterized. The record is from RefSeq and is a predicted model, not a curated record. The transcript has 4 exons. Lineage: Eukaryota; Metazoa; Arthropoda; Insecta; Orthoptera; Acrididae.